This 831-nucleotide long non-coding RNA is filed under the name Homo sapiens (human). Its description in RNAcentral is "HSALNT0156059". The record is from RNAcentral. Lineage: Eukaryota; Metazoa; Chordata; Mammalia; Primates; Hominidae.
GAGACAGAGUCUCACUCUGUCACCCAGGCUGGAGUGCAGUGGUGUGAUCCCGGCUCACUGCAAGCUCCGCCUCCCGGGUUCACGCCAUUCUCUUGCCUCAGUCUCCCGAGUAGAUGGGACUACAGGCGCCCGCCACCACGCCCGGCUAAUUUUUGUAUUUUUAGUAGAGACAGGGUUUCACCAUGUUAGCCAGGAUGGUCUCGAUCUCCUGGUGAUCCGCCCGCCAUGGCCUCCCAAAGUGCUGGGAUUACAGGUGUGAGCCACCGCGCCUGGCCCAGUGAUUAUUUCUUUAGUUCAUUUCCACAACCCACACUGUGUGCCAUGCUGAGACUGGCAAAGGAAAAGUAAAGCAGUAGGUAAGUGCCUUGUGCCAAGCAGGCACUUUCGUCCUGGUAAACAAAGUGCUGAUGGUCCUCAGGACCUCAUUUUAUCAUUGAGAGAAUGAAGGGCUUGUGUGCCCCAAAAAACCGCCUCCCGCUGACCUGAGAAAGAUGAAGAUGGCUUUGCGGUAAGACACUCCGUCAACCUGCUCGUAGUAGUCUAGAAACGGCUUGAUUGCGUCAAUGAUCCCGGGGUGCAAUUUAUCCAUCUCGUCAAAUAUGAAAACAGAGUUCGCACAUGCACUCACAUUACCGCGGAUCCACUUCUGUAACUGGUCCUGGACCAACCAUGAAAGAAGAAACAGGAUGCGAAGCUCAAAGGGUGCACCAAGAGGCGCGCAGGCUCCAUCUGCUCCUCAUGCACUGAAGGACGAGGUCAGAGCUCUUAGAAUGGCACCCUCACCCCCACUCGCUAGGUAGCAGCUUUUCUAAAACCUUAUCUCUAAAAAGU